CAUCAUCUUGCGCUCUAAGUUCUGCUUUUCUACAGCAACUGUUCGAUUCUCUUCCUGUGCUUUUUCAAGCCUUCGGGGCUCUGUUCUGCCGUCUGAAGGCUUUCCAAAUCUUUCAUCAUUUUGGUAAUGUGCUCUUUUGAAGUCUUGUUCUGUGUAUAUGCAAACCAACAACCUCCGACCCCAAUCACUAUGGAGACUAUUUACUACAGUAACAACAAGCCAGAUUGCGCAGUGCUUCAGAUUCAAUUCCAGAGAGUUACUUUGAAGCAAACUGUUGAAGCAGCUGUAUCUGUUUCCAGGACUGUAUGGCAACUCAUCACGGCAAUAUAGAAAAGGACACAGCUGCUUUAAUGAGCUGCCAGC
Molecule: long non-coding RNA, 363 nt
Organism: Candoia aspera
Lineage: Eukaryota; Metazoa; Chordata; Lepidosauria; Squamata; Candoiidae
Exons: 3
Source: RefSeq, a predicted model, not a curated record